This 472-nucleotide ribosomal RNA is filed under the name uncultured bacterium. RNAcentral's name for it is "partial 16S ribosomal RNA". It matches the Rfam family "Bacterial small subunit ribosomal RNA", at positions 28 to 507 of the family's 1533-position model. The record is from RNAcentral.
GACGAACGCUGGCGGCGUGCUUAACACAUGCAAGUCGAACGCUGAAGCUUGGUGCUUGCACUGGGUGGAUGAGUGGCGAACGGGUGAGUAAUACGUGAGUAACCUGCCCUUGACUCUGGGAUAAGCCUGGGAAACUGGGUCUAAUACUGGAUACGACAUGUCACCGCAUGGUGGUGUGUGGAAAGGGUUUUACUGGUUUUGGAUGGGCUCACGGCCUAUCAGCUUGUUGGUGGGGUAAUGGCUCACCAAGGCGACGACGGGUGGCCGGCCUGAGAGGGUGACCGGCCACACUGGGACUGAGACACGGCCCAGACUCCUACGGGAGGCAGCAGUGGGGAAUAUUGCACAAUGGGCGAAAGCCUGAUGCAGCGACGCCGCGUGAGGGAUGACGGCCUUCGGGUUGUAAACCUCUUUCAGCACGGAAGAAGCGAAAGUGACGGUACGUGCAGAAGAAGCGCCGGCUAACUACGUG